This 81-nucleotide transfer RNA is filed under the name Phototrophicus methaneseepsis. It matches the Rfam family "tRNA". From Rfam's summary of the family: Transfer RNA (tRNA) molecules are approximately 80 nucleotides in length. Their secondary structure includes four short double-helical elements and three loops (D, anti-codon, and T loops). The record is from Rfam by way of RNAcentral. Lineage: Bacteria; Bacillati; Chloroflexota; Candidatus Thermofontia; Phototrophicales; Phototrophicaceae.
GGGGCAGUGGUGGAAUGGCAGACACGAAAGUCUUAAAAACUUUUGCCUUCGGGCGUGUGGGUUCGAAUCCCACCUGCCUCA